Molecule: ribosomal RNA, 184 nt
Filed under: uncultured bacterium
Lineage: Bacteria
Description: partial 16S ribosomal RNA
Rfam family: Bacterial small subunit ribosomal RNA
Source: RNAcentral
AACCCGACUCCGUGAAGCUGGAUUCGCUAGUAAUCGCGCAUCAGCCAUGGCGCGGUGAAUACGUUCCCGGGCCUUGUACACACCGCCCGUCAAGCCAUGGGAGCCGGGAGCGCUUGAAGUGCGUCGCCGCGAGGCGCGCCCUAGAGCGAGACCGGUGACUGGGGCUAAGUCGUAACAAGGUACC